CCUACGGGGGGCAGCAGUGAGGAAUAUUGGUCAAUGGGCGGAAGUCUGAACCAGCCAAGCAGCGUGCGGGAUGAAGGCCCUACGGGUUGUAAACCGCUUUUGCACGGGGAUAACACCCUCCACUUGUGGAGGUCUGCAGGUACCGUGCGAAUAAGGGCCGGCUAAUUCCGUGCCAGCAGCCGCGGUAAUACGGAGGGCCCGAGCGUUAUCCGGAUUCAUUGGGCUUAAAGGGAGCGUAGGCGGGCGUUCAAGUCAGCUGUAAAAUCGCGCGGCUCAACCGCGCCCCGCAGUUGACACUGGACGCCUUGAGUUCACAACAGGCAGGCGGAAUUGGUGGUGUAGCGGUGAAAUGCAUAGAGAUCACGAGGAACCCCGAUUGCGAAGGCAGCCUGCCGGGGUGCGACUGACGCUGAGGCUCGAAGGUGCGGGUAUCAAACAGGAUUAGAUACCCUUGUAGUC
This 459-nucleotide ribosomal RNA is filed under the name uncultured bacterium. RNAcentral describes it as "partial 16S ribosomal RNA". It matches the Rfam family "Bacterial small subunit ribosomal RNA", at positions 338 to 795 of the family's 1533-position model. The record is from RNAcentral.